Molecule: unclassified non-coding RNA, 202 nt
Filed under: uncultured fungus
Lineage: Eukaryota; Fungi
Description: sequence contains ITS1
Source: RNAcentral
UUAAUUGAUUUGUUUGUUUCUCAGACGUCACUGUUGACAAGAGUUUUGGCGUGUCCCCCCGGCAGGUCCCCCACAGGGCCGGCAGGCCCUGGGGAUCGACCCCGCCGAGGCAACGAAAAAUCGGUAGGUACACAAAGGGUGGGAGUAAGGGCCAAAGACCCGGUACUCGGUAAUGAUCCUUCCGCAGGUUCACCUACGGAAA